UCAGGGUUGUCGCCUGAUCAUCAGGAAGGCUCACCAGGAGGCCGGUGACUGUGAACACGCUGGGGAAGGUUGGACCUGAGUUUGAGUCCCUUGUCCUUCUGAGGGCCUUCAUUUCAGGACUCUGAAGCACCAGCAUUCUUUCCAUCUAGCAUCACUUUGGAACGUGGUUAGUGACGUAACUCAUCAGUGAACAACAUGGGCUCUAAAUUCUGACUUCAUCUUCGCAAACCGGGUGACCUCAAACAAACGAUAUCCUUCCUCUGGAGCUGUUUUCCAAUCUAUAAAAUAAGGAUAAUAUAAGUACGUGGCCAGCAUGAUUGCUGUGAGUAUUAAAUGUGAUGAUGCCUGCAAAAUACCGGUCUGUAGUGACUGUGCAGUAACUGUUAGCCAUCAGUACCAUUAUUCAUCUGCUGGAAAGUUCUAUGAGGUCAGUAGGGCAGUGGUUCCUGUUUUGAUAUGAACAAAGUAAGGACCCCAGUGGUGAAUUGAUUUGCUCAAGGUUGUACAAGACAGGCAGCCAAGUCAGAGGUCAAAUCCCAACCCUUGAGUCCAGAGCCUUUGGAUUUCUGCCCAACUUCUUGAGGUCAAGACCUGAGAAGCAAGUACUGGUGAAUGGGGUCCCCCACAGCUUGGAUGCUGUUUAAGAAUUCUGAGGAGAGGAGAUUCCCCUUGCUGGCUUCAGUUUUCAGUGUCAACAUUAAGUUAUGAUGAUGUAUGACAUGAGAUUGUGUCCCCCGCUGGCCCCUGAAAGAUGCGUGUCUUCUGAGGGCAGCUACAGAGGAUCCAUUUUGCUGUUCUCAGUAGGUCUGGGGUGACCUACUUGGGACACAAAGCUCGUUGCCCUCAUGAGCCAUUUCUCACAGCAGCCACACAGGGACUUCCUACAUACUUCUAGUUUGCCUGUAUGGUGCCCCCCGUUGGGGUGUCAUCACUUCAUUAAAAUACAGAAUUAAAGUUUGUCACUGGACACCCAGCCAGCUGUCAGGAUCCCCCCUCCUCCUGCCACUGUCACACACUUGGUACUUCCCAGUACAGUGUGGUGUUUAGGGAAUUCUGGAGUCAGACAGAUGUGAGUUCAAGGUCUAGGUGUGACACUAAAUGUGGACUUGGUUCAAUUUUUCAGCCUCUCUGAAUCUCCAUUUCUUCAUCAGUAAAAUGGGUAUUUGGAUAAUGAAAAGCAGGCAGAUAAUACAUCCUCGGACUCUGGUAGUUCAUGAGACUGUGUCAGUGAGCUAUGACUACACUAAUGUCACAUAACAGAUAAAAAUAAACCUUAGGGCACAUGACAAUCAGCAAUCCACAGAAGAACAAAUGUAAGUAGCCAACCCAAAUGUGGACAGAUUUCCCUGCGUUAGUAAACAAAGCAUGUCCAAUUAAAGAAAACCCAAGACACCAUUUUUCAUCUAUACUUAACUGGAACUUUUUAAAAGAUAGACUUUACUUUUUAGAACAGUUUUGAGAUUGCUAGAAAAUUUAAGAAAGACAGCACAGAGAGUUCCCAUACACCUCUGUUCUGGUUGGCUAUCACUAGCAUCUUACCUCAAUCGGGGAUAUUCGUUACAACAGAUGAAAUUAUACAGGUUCAUUGUUAUUAAUUAGAUGUAUGACUGUUGACGUUGACCUUGAUCGCCUGGCUAAGGUAGUGCUUGUCCGUUUUCUCCACUGCAAAGUUACUGCCCCCUCUUUCCAUACUGUGCACUUUACAAAGGAAUUCCAUGCACAGGUCUCUCCCUGGUUGAUGCCCCCUCAGCUCUCAGGAUCAGGGCAGAAAAAGGAAGAUGUGCACAGCUGACUCUCCCAGUUCAGGCCUCAUCCUGAUGCAGUACCACAUGACCUAUAUAGUGAGGGGUAUGUCUUCAAUAGCCAAUAUUUACUGAAUACCUACCUGGUGUUGAGUCUGGUGGUUGGCAGUGGAAUGCCAGGCUGUGCUAGACAGCCUCAUCCCUGCUCAGGGAGCUUACCCUGAAGUAGGAACAUUAGGGUGGGAGGCAUACCUGGGGCCACCCUUCCCCAACUUCACCACUGGAGACAGGGAGACCAGAGAGGACACUGCUGCACUCAUGGGUCUGUGAUGGGAUGAGCGUUGGUGGGAUGAUAGGAGAGCAGGGAAUCAGAGGCAACACUAGAGCUGAGGGCACCUGGGAAUGACGUGAAGAGUCCUCGGGUUUAGGCGAAGAUGUAGAAAAGUCCAUGAAACCAUAUAAACAGAGGAAGAUGGAGAUAAACAACAUGACCUGGGAGAAG
Long non-coding RNA from Equus asinus (donkey), 2244 nucleotides. NCBI's taxonomy places the organism in Eukaryota, Metazoa, Chordata, Mammalia, Perissodactyla, Equidae. The record is from Ensembl.